Pezoporus flaviventris is the source of this 944-nucleotide long non-coding RNA. RefSeq lists it as uncharacterized. NCBI's taxonomy places the organism in Eukaryota, Metazoa, Chordata, Aves, Psittaciformes, Psittacidae. The transcript has 5 exons. The record is from RefSeq and is a predicted model, not a curated record.
CAUACUUCUGCGCUUUCCCUGAAAGUGGAGCAUUAGCAACUGCAGUCAAAAAGCACCCUUGCUUCUUCAGCUCUGAUCCUGGCAGCAACUGUCUAAUUCUGUCUGGAGGAACUGGAAGACAGCACUGGAGGCAAGUUUAAAAAGGACCUAGUGACACCCUGCUGUCACAUCGGGUUUCGUGAAUCCACUUAUCAGUAGUCCAUUUACAAUUACUUUCCUCGUCCCAUCAGUAUUGUACAUUCGUGAGAGCUGGCUGGCUGGGAAGGAAGGAGAGCCCUGCUGAAGGUUCCCAUUGCUGUUAAGAAAACUGGCAUUAAAAUACUACUGACAGAUUGGACACUGUAUUCCUCCAGACAACAUUAAUCUGUCAAUGACUUUGAAGCAAAGACGUGACUGAUGAAGUUACGGAACUGGUGACAUAGGAAGUUGGUUUGAUUUUCAUAGGAUUUGUUCAGACGUCCUGCUGGCUUUAUUGAGGAAUUCUAUUCAAGUUUACUAAAGGAUUUACUGAAAUGGAAGGGAAAGCUCUGUGGACCAUCCAUGUACAUCUCUGAUUCCAAAAUUACCAUCAAAUCAAACAAUUGGAAACUGCUGGCCAGAAGCUCAGCAGCCUUCAGCAGGAAUAGCUCCACUGAAGUCAGAUAAAACAAUGCUGAUUCUUACCAACAGAGAAUUCAAAUUGCACUUCAAGGGGGCAUGCCCAUGCUGCUUGCCCUGCAUUGUUGCAAUAGACUUGUCACCUCCACAAAGACUAUUCUAAGACAAGCGCUUGUACUAUUUGUUGUUCAUUUCAUGUGUGACAGAAAUGGCUCUCAAGGGGUUCAUGAAAGCCAAAUGCUGAUUGUAGUUUCCAGCCCUUCUCAGCCUUGGAGAUGCCAUCAGUCCCUAAGAAAAAGAUUACUCCAACACGUUUUCUGUGCAGAUUGAAAGGAAAAGGAGAGGGC